RNAcentral lists this ribosomal RNA (486 nucleotides) under uncultured bacterium. RNAcentral's name for it is "partial 16S ribosomal RNA". It matches the Rfam family "Bacterial small subunit ribosomal RNA", at positions 30 to 507 of the family's 1533-position model. The record is from RNAcentral.
AUUGAACGCUGGCGGCAUGCCUUACACAUGCAAGUCGAACGGCAGCACGGGUGCUUGCACCUGGUGGCGAGUGGCGAACGGGUGAGUAAUACAUCGGAACAUGUCCUGUAGUGGGGGAUAGCCCGGCGAAAGCCGGAUUAAUACCGCAUACGAUCUACGGAUGAAAGCGGGGGCCCUUCGGGCCUCGCGCUUUGGGGUUGGCCGAUGGCUGAUUAGCUAGUUGGUGGGGUAAAGGCCUACCAAGGCGACGAUCAGUAGCUGGUCUGAGAGGACGACCAGCCACACUGGGACUGAGACACGGCCCAGACUCCUACGGGAGGCAGCAGUGGGGAAUUUUGGACAAUGGGCGAAAGCCUGAUCCAGCAAUGCCGCGUGUGUGAAGAAGGCCUUCGGGUUGUAAAGCACUUUUGUCCGGAAAGAAAUCCUUGGCCCUAAUACGGUCGGGGGAUGACGGUACCGGAAGAAUAAGCACCGGCUAACUACGUG